GACAUUAAAGUUUUAUUAGAUUUUUCCUUUGGUAAUUUUGGUUUCGAUUUGAAAAUGCUUAAGAUGCUUAGAAAAUUAUCGAAUCGUACUCUGCAGCAGAAAAUAGUAAAAGUAACUUAAACUUGCAAGUCUUGUGUGUUAUCAGUGGCACCAAAUGUAUCCAUGAAACUGCUCUGCUCAGGAUGAUGGACAAAAGAACUCAUCUUCACCAUCAGCACUAGACUCUUCCCCAGCCUCCACUGAGCAUACCUGUUGGCAAUCCUCCUGAUUUCUACAGCAAAUGAAUUUUUAACAAUAUCCCAUAAGAUUUGCAAUAGAAUAUACAAGUAGCAACAAUUUUCAACAAAGCCUUUGUAGAUAAGAGUGAGUCUCUUUCUGGGUUAAUGGUAAGAGUCCUAUGAAAGGAAAUUUGCCAUGGACUUCCCGAAAAUGAGACUGCUCUUUUCCACGAAGAGAGACUAAUAAUGGCCUUUGAAACAUUAACUAUUUACUUAAAUUUAGAGAAAUUGGCGUUACCAAAAACUUUCAGCAAAUAAAAUUGAAUCUACUUCAGAGAACAGUGAUACUGGAUGAAAACCAUAGUUUACAUUCCAUCUUCAAAGUGAGAUAAUGCAGGAAUGCCAAAAAUUCAGCAGAGCCUUCUCAAGUAACAAUUUUGUCCUUAGGAAACCAUUGGGAUUUUGAGCUGUGGAAUUUUCCACCCAUUUAUCCUCUCAUUAUCUAUCUUUUUUGCUUCAAAUGUCAAUUGACUCCUCUCACUCACAGUUGCACAAAUUACAGGGCUUUUUUUUUUAAUUGUCAUAAAACAGAUACAUUAUUCAUCUAUUCAGUUUCAUCUGAAGGGAAUCCAACAAAGAAGAAAUUUUAUUUUCCAAUAAAAUAUUAAAGCUGCUUUACCCCACAAGAGACAGAGCAGAAAUUCCAUCCAUGAUCUAUUUCAUUAUGAACAAACUAUCAACAAAAACCAUCCUGUUCAGCCAGUUUCUCAGAGCAACCGUGGGAUUCAAAGCAGGAAGACAUCAGAGGAGAAUGAAAGAAGUAAGAGAGGUUUAUGAGAACCAAAAAUGGAAAAUCAUUUCUUUCACAGCAGUGCUCAGACAAGAACUCUACCCACUGAAGUCAACUGGGUAAUUUACAUUUACCUAUACAGUAGUAUGUCUACCCAGCCUUGCUCUGGAUAAAAUGUGUCAACUCUCCCAAACUAAUGUAUGGCCUGUUGCAUAAUUACCCCUCAUUACGUAAUUGAUCCUACCUCCUGCAAUUCCUUUCCCAGUAACCACUAUUCAUUGGUCCCAGCCUGGAAGAUCAGAUAUUCAAAUUUACCAGCUCAGGCUCCAUGUUCCUACCCGAACUCUUGACCUGGUUACAGGAAGGAAAAAUAGUGACACUUUUCACUGCCUAAAUGUUUUAGUCUCAUUUCUUUAUGAUUUGAGAAUCCACUGAAAUUCAUUAUCUUGGUUAAGCAAAAAAAAAAAAAAAAA
Molecule: non-coding RNA, 1481 nt
Organism: Chlorocebus sabaeus (green monkey)
Lineage: Eukaryota; Metazoa; Chordata; Mammalia; Primates; Cercopithecidae
Source: RefSeq, a predicted model, not a curated record